Molecule: ribosomal RNA, 406 nt
Filed under: uncultured bacterium
Lineage: Bacteria
Description: partial 16S ribosomal RNA
Rfam family: Bacterial small subunit ribosomal RNA
Source: RNAcentral
AUUGAACGCUGGCGGCAGGCCUAACACAUGCAAGUCGAACGAGUGGCGGACGGGUGAGUAAUGUCUGGGAAACUGCACGAUGGAGGGGGAUAACUACUGGAAACGGUAGCUAAUACCGCAUACCAUCGGAUGUGCCCAGAUGGGUUUAGCUAGUAGGUGGGGUAACGGCUCACAUAGGCGACGAUCCCUAGCGUGUCUGAGCGGAGGACAAGCCACACGGGAACUGUGACACGGUCCAGACUCCGACGGUAGGCAGCAGUGGGGAAUAUUGCACAAUGGGCGCAAGCCUGAUGCAGCCAUGCCGCGUGUAUGAAGAAGGCCGUCGGGUUGUAAAGUACUUGCAGCGAGGAGGCGUUGCUCGCAGAAGAAGCACCGGCUAACUCCGGGCCAGCCGCCGCGGUAAUUC